Molecule: long non-coding RNA, 464 nt
Organism: Cyphomyrmex costatus
Lineage: Eukaryota; Metazoa; Arthropoda; Insecta; Hymenoptera; Formicidae
Exons: 3
Source: RefSeq, a predicted model, not a curated record
AUUUAAUUCUCUCGUCUAGUUUUGCAAGAGAAGGUGACUCAUUAGAAAUUUGGCUGACUUCUAUGAGUCGUAUGGUGACGAGGGAGUCUCUAGCGAAUAUACACCCUCGUAUAUUCGGAGUCGUGGUAUAGAUAUCCUGUUUUUAUUUCAGGAUUUGAAAUGCGGAUUACAAAUCCGGAGCUUGAGCGGGCGGGAAUUUUCACAGAUUCCAGUUGCUUGAAUGGAAUAGAGCGGCCACGCCAUGAAAUGUGGCUUUUGACAUAAUUGAUGCACGCAUUUUGCUUCAUGAAGAAAGUUGAGCCUAAUAUUCCUUGCGGAAUGAUAGGGAAGUUGUCCGAGACGACAUGGAAAGUCACUGACACGGAGGCUAUGAAAAUUUUUACUAAGCCAAGCGUGCUAACAACAUCUGAAGUAAUUCCUGUUGUGCCCCGGUAUCGAGCAUGAAACUUAUUGGUCCUUUGAAU